This 52-nucleotide small RNA is filed under the name Sphingomonas prati. RNAcentral describes it as "ffh sRNA". It matches the Rfam family "ffh sRNA". The record is from Rfam by way of RNAcentral. Lineage: Bacteria; Pseudomonadati; Pseudomonadota; Alphaproteobacteria; Sphingomonadales; Sphingomonadaceae.
GCGCCCACGGGUGCCCGCCGGCCAGCGAGUUUUCGCCCGCCGGCGUUUUGCG